UACGUAGGGUGCAAGCGUUGUCCGGAAUUAUUGGGCGUAAAGAGCUCGUAGGCGGUUUGUUGCGUCUGCUGUGAAAACUCGGGGCUUAACUCCGGGCCUGCAGUCGAUACGGGCAGACUGGAGUUUGGCAGGGGAGACUGGAAUUUACGGUGUAGCAGUGAAAUGCGUAGAGAUCGUGAGGAAGACCAGUGGCGAAGGCGGGUCGCUGGGCUGUAACUGACGCUGAGGAGCGAAAGCAUGGGGAGCGAACAGG
Molecule: ribosomal RNA, 253 nt
Filed under: uncultured bacterium
Lineage: Bacteria
Description: partial 16S ribosomal RNA
Rfam family: Bacterial small subunit ribosomal RNA
Source: RNAcentral